Long non-coding RNA from Vigna radiata var. radiata (mung bean), 747 nucleotides. RefSeq lists it as uncharacterized. Lineage: Eukaryota; Viridiplantae; Streptophyta; Magnoliopsida; Fabales; Fabaceae. The transcript is spliced from 2 exons. The record is from RefSeq and is a predicted model, not a curated record.
AAGUCUGCAGUAUUCUUAUCUUCUUUUGUGUUUCCAAUUGGGCUUGAACCAAAUUUAGGGCCCAACCCUUAUUUCCUUCGAGGGGUCACUUGAGUGUGUCUCAUUCUGCCAUUUUUCUUCUUCCUCAUCUCACUCAAACCAGAAGUUUGAAGCUUCUGCCUUUCUCUCCACCGCGAACGAACCAUCAUUGGGGGCGAGGAUGAUCUGCCUCUUGAGAAGCGGCAACGAUCCCACAACGGCGUUGACGGAGCGAACUCCUUUCUUAUCGGCGAGAGCGCGGCGACGGUGCGACGAAGGCGCAGUGAGGACACAACGUUCUCUCCACAGCAGUGUGCGUCGUAGUAACGGCUCUCCGAGACUCCGAUGGCAUUCUCGUAAAUCUUGGUUACCGUUUCGUGGUGGUUGUCGGAGUUGCAAAAGUGGUGCAGCCAUGGAAGUUGCGGUGAGUGGUCGUCGACUUGGCUUGGCCAAGGAGUGUUGCUCUGAUUGACCAUUCUGAAACGGCGAAGUUCUUCUUUGGGCCGGGAGUGAAUCUGGGUUGAUACAGUGGGAACAUAAUUGGGCCGCAGGCCCAGAGUUGAACAUAAAUGAAAUUAUUAAAUUACAAUAAUAAGAAUGUUUAUUUGGUCCUAGUUUGAGAUGUGUAGACUUCGUGAUUAUAUUAAGGUAAAAAAUACCUUUUCUUGUCCCAGUUUUGGUUGGUAACAGUCAAAAUGGUUCCCAUUUGUUUUUUCUGUUCACUUUAGU